RNAcentral lists this ribosomal RNA (907 nucleotides) under Penicillium cosmopolitanum. RNAcentral's name for it is "LSU rRNA". It matches the Rfam family "Eukaryotic large subunit ribosomal RNA", at positions 38 to 963 of the family's 3401-position model. Lineage: Eukaryota; Fungi; Ascomycota; Eurotiomycetes; Eurotiales; Aspergillaceae. The record is from RNAcentral.
GCAUAUCAAUAAGCGGAGGAAAAGAAACCAACCGGGAUUGCCCUAGUAACGGCGAGUGAAGCGGCAAGAGCUCAAAUUUGAAAGCUGGCUCCUUCGGGGUCCGCAUUGUAAUUUGCAGAGGAUGCUUCGGGAGCGGUCCCCAUCUAAGUGCCCUGGAACGGGCCGUCAUAGAGGGUGAGAAUCCCGUAUGGGAUGGGGUGCCCGCGCCCGUGUGAAGCUCCUUCGACGAGUCGAGUUGUUUGGGAAUGCAGCUCUAAUUGGGUGGUAAAUUUCAUCUAAAGCUAAAUAUUGGCCGGAGACCGAUAGCGCACAAGUAGAGUGAUCGAAAGAUGAAAAGCACUUUGAAAAGAGAGUUAAACAGCACGUGAAAUUGUUGAAAGGGAAGCGCUUGCGAUCAGACUCGCUCGCGGGGUUCAGCCGGCCUUCGGGCCGGUGUACUUCCCCGCGGGCGGGCCAGCGUCGGUUUGGGCGGCCGGUCAAAGGCCCCUGGAAUGUAACGCCUCUCGGGGCGUCUUAUAGCCAGGGGUGCCAUGCGGCCUGCCCGGACCGAGGAACGCGCUUCGGCUCGGACGCUGGCAUAAUGGUCGUAAGCGACCCGUCUUGAAACACGGACCAAGGAGUCUAACAUCUACGCGAGUGUUCGGGUGUCAAACCCGUGCGCGCAGUGAAAGCGAACGGAGGUGGGAACCCCUCGGGGUGCACCAUCGACCGAUCCUGAUGUCUUCGGAUGGAUUUGAGUAAGAGCGUAGCUGUUGGGACCCGAAAGAUGGUGAACUAUGCCUGAAUAGGGCGAAGCCAGAGGAAACUCUGGUGGAGGCUCGCAGCGGUUCUGACGUGCAAAUCGAUCGUCAAAUUUGGGUAUAGGGGCGAAAGACUAAUCGAACCAUCUAGUAGCUGGUUCUGCGAG